UUCCGUGCUCUGGGUUCUCUCUUCUUUAUACCAAUUUGAAAUUUUUAUGAUGUUUCUUUGUGUAUCAGUGGUGAUGAAAAGGUUUACAAUUUGCUUAAUAUAAAUGCUACAACAAAGACUAUUGCCUAACUGUUUCAAUUGCAAGUAUACCAGAAUGAUCCUUUGACAAUGUAAAGAAUGAAAAUUGCUAAAAACCCUUGUAAAGUUCAUACCUUUGCAAACUCAGAGCUCUAUCACAAAGAACUCUGCGGAAACCAAGUCGGCAAAUGAGGGAAAGUACGAAAAAUUAAGGAAGCUUUGUUUGGUUGGAGAGGAAGAUUAAAGUGAAGUGGGGGCUUUCAGUAUUACGUUCAUGAAAAAUGGGGACUUUGAGAACUUGUAUGUGGUAGAGGAAUACAGUUGAUGCAAACAAUAAUCACCAUCUCAACUAUAUCCCUAAGGGGCUGAGUUAAAGAUCAUUUAGAGCCCUCAUUAUUGAUCUUCAUUUGCUUUGCUUUAAAAGAUGGCUCAAGGGAGAGGGAAGCGGAUAAGGAAGGUUAAGAAGGUUUCUCCACCUCAACAUCCAGCUACAACAACUGUGACAGAUAAUAUGUUAGCUACACCUACUGUGAGUGAGAAUGUGCCAGCAACAA
This is a long non-coding RNA of Rosa chinensis, 632 nucleotides long. RefSeq lists it as uncharacterized. The transcript has 4 exons. The record is from RefSeq and is a predicted model, not a curated record. NCBI's taxonomy places the organism in Eukaryota, Viridiplantae, Streptophyta, Magnoliopsida, Rosales, Rosaceae.